GACGAACGCUGGCGGCGUGCCUAAUACAUGCAAGUAGAACGCUGAAGCUUGGUGCUUGCACCGAGCGGAUGAGUUGCGAACGGGUGAGUAACGCGUAGGUAACCUGCCUGGUAGCGGGGGAUAACUAUUGGAAACGAUAGCUAAUACCGCAUAAAAUGGAUUAUCGCAUGAUAAUCCAUUGAAAGGUGCAAAUGCAUCACUACCAGAUGGACCUGCGUUGUAUUAGCUAGUUGGUGGGGUAACGGCUCACCAAGGCGACGAUACAUAGCCGACCUGAGAGGGUGAUCGGCCACACUGGGACUGAGACACGGCCCAGACUCCUACGGGAGGCAGCAGUAGGGAAUCUUCGGCAAUGGACGGAAGUCUGACCGAGCAACGCCGCGUGAGUGAAGAAGGUUUUCGGAUCGUAAAGCUCUGUUGUAAGAGAAGAACGAGUGUGAGAGUG
This 445-nucleotide ribosomal RNA is filed under the name Streptococcus sp. oral taxon 070. RNAcentral's name for it is "bacterial SSU rRNA". It matches the Rfam family "Bacterial small subunit ribosomal RNA", at positions 28 to 463 of the family's 1533-position model. The record is from RNAcentral. Lineage: Bacteria; Bacillati; Bacillota; Bacilli; Lactobacillales; Streptococcaceae.